RNAcentral lists this ribosomal RNA (320 nucleotides) under uncultured bacterium. RNAcentral's name for it is "bacterial SSU rRNA". It matches the Rfam family "Bacterial small subunit ribosomal RNA", at positions 28 to 334 of the family's 1533-position model. The record is from RNAcentral.
GAUGAACGCUGGCGGCGUGCCUAACACAUGCAAGUCGAACGGACAUUUUUGAAGUACUUCGACCGGAAUCUAAUAGUUAGUGGCGGACGGGUGAGUAACGCGUGAGCAAUCUGCCUUUCAGAGGGGGAGUAACAGCCGGAAACGGCUGCUAAUACCGCAUGAUGCAUUUGGGCUGCAUGGCUCUGAAUGCCAAAGAUUUAUCGCUCUGAGAUGGACUCGCGUCUGAUUAGCUAGUUGGUGGGGUAAAGGCCUACCAAGGCUGCGAUCAGUAGCCGGACUGAGAGGUUGAACGGCCACAUUGGGACUGAGAUACGGCCCAG